UGGCUCAGUGGGUAGAGCAUGGUGUUUGCAAUGCCAGGAUUGUGGGUUCAAUUCCCAC
This 58-nucleotide transfer RNA is filed under the name Salmo salar (Atlantic salmon). It matches the Rfam family "tRNA", at positions 8 to 63 of the family's 71-position model. From Rfam's summary of the family: Transfer RNA (tRNA) molecules are approximately 80 nucleotides in length. Their secondary structure includes four short double-helical elements and three loops (D, anti-codon, and T loops). Lineage: Eukaryota; Metazoa; Chordata; Actinopteri; Salmoniformes; Salmonidae. The record is from Rfam by way of RNAcentral.